This 459-nucleotide ribosomal RNA is filed under the name uncultured bacterium. RNAcentral describes it as "SSU rRNA". It matches the Rfam family "Bacterial small subunit ribosomal RNA", at positions 26 to 518 of the family's 1533-position model. The record is from RNAcentral.
AGAAUCAACGCUGGCGGCGUGCCUAACACAUGCAAGUCGAACGAGAAAGGGUAGCAAUACCUGAGUAAAGUGGCGCACGGGUGAGUAACACGUGACUAACCUACCCUGGAGUGGGGGAUAACUGAGGGAAACCUUAGCUAAUACCGCAUAACACCUACGGGUCAAAGGAGCAAUUCGCUUCAGGAGGGGGUCGCGGCCGAUUAGUUAGUUGGCGGGGUAAUGGCCCACCAAGACAGUGAUCGGUAUCCGGCCUGAGAGGGCGCACGGACACACUGGAACUGAAACACGGUCCAGACUCCUACGGGAGGCAGCAGUGGGGAAUUUUGCGCAAUGGGGGAACCCUGACGCAGCAACGCCGCGUGGAGGAUGAAGUCCUUCGGGACGUAAACUCCUUUCGAUCGGGACGAUAAUGACGGUACCGGAAGAAGAAGCCCCGGCUAACUUCGCGCCAGCAGCCGC